Long non-coding RNA from Photinus pyralis (common eastern firefly), 621 nucleotides. RefSeq lists it as uncharacterized. The record is from RefSeq and is a predicted model, not a curated record. The transcript is spliced from 2 exons. Lineage: Eukaryota; Metazoa; Arthropoda; Insecta; Coleoptera; Lampyridae.
GCCCCUCAUCUCUGUCCAGGUUCAUUAAGAAUUUUUGUAUGAGUUUGCAUUUUUAAAAAAAUGUCCUAAACCUACAAAUAACCUAAUAUCCAAAGCUGCUUUGUUUCACACUCCGUCCAGUUUCAUUAAGAAUUUUCGUAUGAGUUUGUAGUUAAAACUUAUCAAUUUCCAUGAAAACAAUGUGUGCACAUAGGGUAUCUUGACUGGAAAAUUGCUCCACAUGAUAAAUAUUACGAUCAUUAGCAUUAAUUGCAAUGUUUAAAAAUGUUAAUGAUAAUCCACACUAACCUCAUUUCAGAUUUUAUUUUCCUCUCAAUACUUUAUUAAUUCAACUAGAUCCCUUUGGUAUUUUAGAGUUAUUUAUGCAACGUACAAAUUAAAAUAAAAUGCAAUUAAAAAAGUUAUGUGGAAUGCUCAGAUCAAGGUUAUAUGAAAAUAGCACAAUGAGAAACAUCUUCAAUAAAAUUAUACAAUACAAUGUGCCCGAUUGCCAACAUCACAGCACUAGGAGAUAUUUUAAAUAAUAAAAGUUCACUAUAAAUUCUGUUAACCAUUUAAAACAUGAAGUUAUAAAACUUUUAUCCAAUAAUCUGUAAAAUUGCACUAAACCACUGAAAAUUA